AACGAACGCUGGCGGCGCGCUUAAUACAUGCAAGUCGAACGAGAAGGUGUAGCAAUACACUUGUAAAGUGGCGAACGGGUGAGGAAUACAUGGGUAACCUACCCUCGAGUGGGGAACAACCAGCCGAAAGGUUGGCUAAUACCGCGUACGCUUCCGGGUCUUCGGAUUCGGAAGGAAAGUCAUACCGUGGGUAUGACGCUCAAGGAUGGGCUCAUGUCCUAUCAGCUUGUUGGUGGGGUAACGGCCACCAAGGCUCCGACGGGUAGCUGGUCUGAGAGGACGAUCAGCCACACUGGCACUGCGACACGGGCCAGACUCCUACGGGAGGCAGCAGUAAGGAAUAUUGCGCAAUGGGCGAAAGCCUGACGCAGCGACGCCGCGUGGGGAGUGAAGGUCUUCGGAUUGUAAACCCCUUUCGGGAGGGAAGAUGGAACGAGCAAUCGUUCGGACGGUACCUCCAGAAGCAGCCACGGCUAACUUCGUGACAGCAGCCGCUGUAAU
RNAcentral lists this ribosomal RNA (501 nucleotides) under uncultured bacterium. Its description in RNAcentral is "bacterial SSU rRNA". It matches the Rfam family "Bacterial small subunit ribosomal RNA", at positions 29 to 524 of the family's 1533-position model. The record is from RNAcentral.